Long non-coding RNA from Etheostoma cragini (Arkansas darter), 444 nucleotides. RefSeq lists it as uncharacterized. NCBI's taxonomy places the organism in Eukaryota, Metazoa, Chordata, Actinopteri, Perciformes, Percidae. The record is from RefSeq and is a predicted model, not a curated record. The transcript has 2 exons.
UAAAAGGACCCGAAAAAAAUCACAGUGCCUGUGUGCUUUAAGAACGAGGUGUGCCAUUUUUUGCCACUGAGACAAUGGAGGGAGAGAGGAGGCAUGCGACUGGAAAGAUAAAGAUUAAACACAAGAUCAACUCUCCCUUUUCUGUUUCUAAUGGGAUUCUGCCCGUUAUGUUUUCAUCUCCUCCACUGAUUCUGUAAAAUAGGUGAAAGUUGAUAAUUAUGUAAAACAACCCCCACCCCCCGUCAGUCAAAGGCUGGGGAUGAAUAACAAACAAGUGAGCGCAGGUUGGGCCUCUGCGUGUCAAUCAUGGCUCUGAAUGCAUACCGUGCCGCAAACACGUCCGUAUGCUGUCAACAAGUGUCAGGGGCUUAUGUUUCAGGCUUAUGUUUCGCCUGCAGGGACAUUCAAAACCAAGGAAUUCCUGAACAAAUCUUUGAUAAAAAA